GGAUGAUCAGUCACACUGGAACUGGAACACGGUCCAGACUCCUACGGGAGGCAGCAGUGAGGAAUUUUGCGCAAUGGGGGCAACCCUGACGCAGCAACGCCGCGUGAGUGAAGAAGGCCUUUGGGUCGUAAAGCUCUGUCAACUGGGAAGAAGUUAUGAUGAUCCAAUAGGUUGUCAUAUUGACGGUACCAGUGGAGGAAGCGCCGGCUAACUCCGUGCCAGCAGCCGCGGUAACACGGGGGGCGCAAGCGUUAUUCGGAAUUAUUGGGCGUAAAGGGCGCGUAGGCGGUCUUGUCGGUCAGAUGUGAAAGCCCAGGGCUCAACCCUGGACGUGCAUUUGAAACAGCAAGACUUGAGUACGGGAGAGGAAAGCGGAAUUCCUGGUGUAGAGGUGAAAUUCGUAGAUAUCAGGAGGAACACCGAUGGCGAAGGCAGCUUUCUGGACCGAUACUGACGCUGAGGCGCGAAGGCGUGGGUAGCGAACAGGAUUAGAUACCCUGGUAGCCCACGCAGUAAACGAUGUUCACUCGGUGUAUCGGAUAUUAAAAUCUGAUGUGCCCAAGCUAACGCAUUAAGUGAACCGCCUGGGGAGUACGGUCGCAAGACUAGAACUCAAAGGAAUUGACGGGGGCCCGCACAAGCGGUGGAGCAUGUGGUUUAAUUCGACAACGCGAAGAACCUUACCUGGGUUUGACAUCCUGUGAACGUCCAAGAGAUUGGACAGUGCCUUCGGGAGCACAGUGACAGGUGCUGCAUGGCUGUCGUCAGCUCGUGUCGUGAGAUGUUUGGUUAAGUCCAGCAACGAGCGCAACCCUUAUCGUUAGUUGCCAGCACGUAAUGGUGGGAACUUUAACGAGACUGCCCGGGUUAACCGGGAGGAAGGUGGGGAUGACGUCAAGUCCUCAUGGCCCUUAUACCCAGGGCUACACACGUGCUACAAUGGUAAAUACAGAGGGCAGCGAACUCGCGAGAGUAAGCGAAUCCCUAAAGUUUAUCUCAGUCCGGAUUGGAGUCUGCAACUCGACUCCAUGAAGUUGGAAUCGCUAGUAAUCGCGGAUCAGCAUGCCGCGGUGAAUAUGUUCCCGGGCCUUGUACACACCGCCCGUCACACCAUGGGAGUUGAUUAUACCCGACGUCGCUGGGCUAACCAUUUAUGGAAGCAGGCGCCUAAGGUAUGGUUGAUAACUGGGGUGAAGUCGUAACAAGGUA
RNAcentral lists this ribosomal RNA (1209 nucleotides) under metagenome. RNAcentral describes it as "bacterial SSU rRNA". It matches the Rfam family "Bacterial small subunit ribosomal RNA", at positions 298 to 1498 of the family's 1533-position model. The record is from RNAcentral.